This 886-nucleotide ribosomal RNA is filed under the name uncultured bacterium. RNAcentral's name for it is "bacterial SSU rRNA". It matches the Rfam family "Bacterial small subunit ribosomal RNA", at positions 8 to 917 of the family's 1533-position model. The record is from RNAcentral.
AGAGUUUGAUCCUGGCUCAGGACGAACGCUGGCGGCGUGCUUAACACAUGCAAGUCGAAGGAAAGGCCUCAAGCUUGCUUGGGGUACUCGAGUGGCGAACGGGUGAGUAACACGUGGGGAUCUGCCCUGCACUUCGGGAUAAGCCUGGGAAACUGGGUCUAAUACCGGAUAGGACCCUCUUUAGUGUGGGGGGUGGAAAGUUUUUUCGGUGUGGGAUGAGCCCGCGGCCUAUCAGCUGUUGGUGGGGUAAUGGCCUACCAAGGCGUCGACGGGUAGCCGGCCUGAGAGGGUGGACGCCACAUUGGGACUGAGAUACGGCCCAGACUCCUACGGGAGGCAGCAGUGGGGAAUAUUCACAAUGGGCGGAAGCCUGAUGCAGCGACGCCGCGUGGGGGAUGACGGCCUUCGGGUUGAAACCUCUUUCGACAGGGACGAAGCUUUUGUGACGGUACCUGUAUAAGAAGCACCGGCUACUACGUGCCAGCAGCCGCGGUAAUACGUAGGGUGCGAGCGUUGUCCGGAAUUACUGGGGUAAAGAGCUCGUAGGUGGUUUGUCGCGUCGUCUGUGAAAUUCCGGGGCUUAACUUCGGCGUGCAGGCGAUACGGGCAAUACUUGAGUGCUGUAGGGGAGACUGGAAUUCCUGGUGUACGGUGAAAUGCGCAGAUAUCAGGAGGAACACCGAUGGCGAAGGCAGGUCUCUGGGCAGUACUGACGCUGAGGAGCGAAAGCAUGGGUAGCGAACAGGAUUAGAUACCCUGGUAGUCCAGCCGUAAACGGUGGGCGCUAGGUGUAGGGGUCUUCCACGACUUCUGUGCCGUAGCUAACCAUUAAGCGCCCCGCCUGGGGAGUACGGCCGCAAGGCUAAAACUCAAAGGAAUUGACGGG